Molecule: ribosomal RNA, 1285 nt
Filed under: bacterium E2-88
Lineage: Bacteria
Description: bacterial SSU rRNA
Rfam family: Bacterial small subunit ribosomal RNA
Source: RNAcentral
CGGAACACGUGUGCAACCUGCCUUUAUCUGGGGGAUAGCCUUUCGAAAGGAAGAUUAAUACCCCAUAAUAUACUGGAUGGCAUCAUUCGGUAUUGAAAACUCCGGUGGAUAGAGAUGGGCACGCGCAAGAUUAUAUAGUUGGUGAGGUAACGGCUCACCGAGUCUACGAUCUUUAGGGGGCCUGAGAGGGUGAUCCCCCACACUGGUACUGAGACACGGACCAAACUCCUACGGGAGGCAGCAGUGAGGAAUAUUGGACAAUGGGUGAGAGCCUGAUCCCGCCAUCCCGCGUGAAGGACGACGGCCCUAUGGGUUGUAAACUUCUUUUGUAUAGGGAUAAACCUACCCUCGUGAGGGUAGCUGAAGGUACUAUACGAAUAAGCACCGGCUAACUCCGGUGCCAGCACCCGCGGUAAUACGGAGGGUGCAAGCGUUAUCCUGGAUUUAUUGGGUUUAAAGGGUCCGUAGGCGGAUCUGUAAGUCAGUGGUGAAAUCUCAAAGCUUAACUGUGAAACUGCCAUUGAUACUGCAGGUCUUGAGUGUUGUUGAAGUAGCUUGGAAUAAGUAGUGUAACGGUGAAAUGCAUAGAUAUUACCUAAAACACCAAUUGCGAAGGCAGGUUACUAAGCAACAACUGACGCUGAUGGACGAAAUCGUGGGGAGCGAACAGGAUUAGAUACCCUGGUAGUCCACGCCGUAAACGAUGCUAACUCGUUUUUGGAAUGUAAGUUUCAGAGACUAAACGAAAGUGAUAAGUUAGCCCCCUGGGGAGUACGAACCCAAGUUUUGACACUCAAAGGAAUUGACGGGCGGCCCGCACAAGCGGUGGAUUAUGUGGUUUAAUUCGAUGAUACGCGAGGAACCUUACCAAGGCUUAAAUGGGAAAUGACAGGUUUAGAAAUAGACUUUUCUUCGGACAUUUUUCAAGGUGCUGCAUGGUUGUCGUCAGCUCGUGCCGUGAGGUGUUAGGUUAAGUCCUGCAACGAGCGCAACCCCUGUCACUAGUUGCCAUCAUUAAGUUGGGGACUGUAGUGAGACUGCCUACGCAAGUAGAGAGGAAGGUGGGGAUGACGUCAAAUCAUCACGGCCCUUACGCCUUGGGCCACACACGUAAUACAAUGGCCGGUACAGAGGGCAGCUACACUGGGAAGUGAUGCAAAUCUCGAAAGCCGGUCUCAGUUCGGAUUGGAGUCUGCAACUCGACUCUAUGAAGCUGGAAUCGCUAGUAAUCGCGCAUCAGCCAUGGCGCGGUGAAUACGUUCCCGGGCCUUGUACACACCGCCCG